UAUUAAUGAAAAUUUAGUUUUAAAGGAUGUAUAAGACUAUACGAUAUAAUAAUUGAAACUAUAAACCAUAGCAGCAAAAAUCUUUUGGGGAGAAAAUCAGAUUUGAAACAAAACUAUGUUCCACGGGGACACAUCCCCUGCUGUUUUGGACCUGGACCGGUAGUGGGGACAGUUUUUUGCUGUAUCUGACCUGUUUCUUGUGCAUGCCAGACGACAGGGAUGUUUCCUGCAAGCAGUGGGGAUGGUUCUAGGCCGUUUGGGACAUCCAGGUAUCCCCAGGACGAUUAGGGGACUCCUAGCAGUACCUGAACCGACAUUCCCUUCUGCCCAGAACGUCCACCAAUGCACAAAACCAAAAAAAAGUAAUAUUUAAAAAUUCAUUUUUAACCUGGCCGGCCCCACCAACAACAUAAAACAACAAUAAAAAUUAAAAACCCUAAUCCAACAAUAAAACGAGCAAAAAGAAGGAAAAAGACAUUUCAUUUGGCAUUUGCAAAGUUGGAGAAUAGCAGCAAGAGGAGGAGCAGCUGAUCAAGGAGUGAAGAGCAGGUGAAAGAGGAGCUUUCUUUGACAUUCUUAUACAGACAAAAUCAUGAGCAGCGAUGAGAAUAGUAGUGGGAGUAGUGAUAGUGAGGGUGAUGAAGUUGAAAUUGAAGAUAGAACUCAAACUAGACCAAGAACUAGAAGUGGGGCAGCCACUGGAAGGUUUUCAGGAAGUCUGAAUGUAGCAGGGGCAGCAUGUUCCUCAAACCCAUUUGAAUGUCCUUCCCAAAUCCUCAAACACUAUGCAAAAGGCCCAUUUGACCCCAAAAUACCUUUACUGCAAUUUGCUACAAGAAAUUGACAAAGACAAGAAAAAAAAUUCAGGGGGUAGUAGAAAAUGGGAGUGUCAUUUGUGCCACAAACAUAUUAAUGACAGCUAUACUAAAGUCUAUUGCAAUCUUUUGGGCAUAAGUGGUCAAGGGGUGAAAGGUUGCAAAAAGAUAACUCAAGCUGAAAGAAUUGAGGGAACUAGAUUGCAUAUGGAUCGUGAAGCAUUAAGUAAAGGGACUUCAACAGAGAAUUUGCAGCCUACUAUGUUAAUAGAUGAUGCUUCUCAUGGGGAAGAGGGUGCCAGUUUUGCUAGAGGAAAGACAAAGAAGACUAAGAGAGAAACUAAUGUUGCUGAUUUGUUUAACAUACAAUCAUGAGAUAAGGAUGAAGCCUCUAUUGCUAAGUUUCUUUAUGCUCAUUCUAUACCAUUCUCUGUCUCACGUUAUUCAUAUUUUAAACAAAUGUUCAAAGAUCUCAUAGCUGCUGGUCCCUCAUUUGUUCCACUUGGCGAAACUAAGCUACGCACCACCCUUCUUGAUAAAGAGUACUCCAAGGUGACUGUUUUGAUGGAAGAUAUGAGACAAACAUGGAUGAGGGAUGGAUGCUCUAUAAUCAUGGAUGGCUGGACUGAUACCAAACGUCAGCCACUCAUUAAUCUUAUUGCCACUAGCACUGUAGGCUCUUAUUUUCUUAGAGCUAUAGAUUGUUUAGGGAAUAGGAAGGAUGCAACCUUGCAAUUUCAGAUUUUGAGAGAGGCCAUAGAAGAGGUUGGAGCCUCUGAAUAUCGUACAGGUAAUGACCGAUUCAGCCUAUGUGUAAGCUAGCUGGAAUGAUGGUAGAGAGUGCUUAUAAGCAUAUGUUUUUUGACCCUAUGUUGUGUGCAUGCAUUGAACAAUACUUUGAAGGAUAUUGGGAAAAGUCAUUGGGUGAAGACAAUGGUGUUAGAGGCUAGAGAUGUGCAAAUUUUCAUUUGCAACCAUCACACUUCACUUACAUUGUAUAUGACAUUUUUCGAGGAAGGAAUUCCUCAAGCUUGUGGAGACUAGAUAUGCCAGCGACUUUAUUUUGUUAGAGAGGAUGCUUGAGGUCCAGGAGGCUCUACAACCCGCUGGUCAAUGCUGAGUGGGUUAGUUGGCAUGAGGCAAGCACAUGAGAGGGAAGAAGUGUGAAGCGAAAAUUCCUUGAUGAUAACUGGCGGUUCACAAUGAGAUAUAUUUGCUCCUUCAUUGAGCCUAUUGUACAAGUGAUUGGAUAUGCUGAUAUUGACUCUCCUAACCUUGGAAAGAUUUAUGAGACAUUUGAUAACAUGCUUGGGCAGAUGAAGCAAGUUAUUCAUAGCAUGGACCCUACUUUGGGAUUUUAUGAGGUGUAUCUUAGGCCCAUUGUGAUGCGAUGGUGGAACAUCAUGAACAACC
Molecule: long non-coding RNA, 2228 nt
Organism: Cryptomeria japonica (Japanese cedar)
Lineage: Eukaryota; Viridiplantae; Streptophyta; Pinopsida; Cupressales; Cupressaceae
Exons: 3
Source: RefSeq, a predicted model, not a curated record